This 406-nucleotide ribosomal RNA is filed under the name uncultured bacterium. Its description in RNAcentral is "partial 16S ribosomal RNA". It matches the Rfam family "Bacterial small subunit ribosomal RNA", at positions 30 to 526 of the family's 1533-position model. The record is from RNAcentral.
AUUGAACGCUGGCGGCAGGCCUAACACAUGCAAGUCGAGCGAGCGGCGGACGGGUGAGUAAUGUAUGGGAAUCUGCCUGAUGGCGGGGGAUAACUCCUGUAAACGGUAGCUAAUACCGCAUACCAUCAGCUGAACCCAUAUGGGAUGAGCUUGUAGGUGCGGUAACGGCUCACCUAGGCGACGAUCCCUAGCUGGUCUGAGAGGAUGAUCAGCAACACUGGGACUGAGACACGGCCCAGACUCCUACGGGAGGCAGCAGUGGGGAAUAUUUCACAAUGGGCGCAAGCCUGAUGCAGCCAUGCCGCGUGUAUGAAGAAGGCCUUCGGGUUGUAAAGUACUUUCAGUCGGGAGGCGUUACCGACAGAAGAAGCAUCGGCUAACUCCGUGCCAGCAGCCGCGGUAAUUC